RNAcentral lists this ribosomal RNA (253 nucleotides) under uncultured bacterium. Its description in RNAcentral is "partial 16S ribosomal RNA". It matches the Rfam family "Bacterial small subunit ribosomal RNA", at positions 524 to 776 of the family's 1533-position model. The record is from RNAcentral.
UACGGAGGGUGCAAGCGUUAUCCGGAUUCACUGGGUUUAAAGGGUGCGUAGGCGGGCAUUUAAGUCAGUGGUGAAAUACCUGAGCUUAACUUGGGAACUGCCAUUGAUACUAUUUGUCUUGAAUACUGUGGAGGUCAGCGGAAUAUGUCAUGUAGCGGUGAAAUGCUUAGAUAUGACAUAGAACACCAAUUGCGAAGGCAGCUGGCUACACAAAUAUUGACACUGAGGCACGAAAGCGUGGGGAUCAAACAGG